CACAGAUGCAACUAGCCACUGGUGAUGUUGAGGCUGGAGCGAAACUCGGUGAAGGUCGAGGACGGGAGACCCUUGGUGAAGAUGUUGGCCCAAGUUUGGUUUUGGUAAUUAAUGACACCAAGUUGCUAAUGCUUUGUG
This 138-nucleotide microRNA precursor is filed under the name Sorghum bicolor (sorghum). Its description in RNAcentral is "miR6233 stem-loop (sbi-MIR6233)". Lineage: Eukaryota; Viridiplantae; Streptophyta; Magnoliopsida; Poales; Poaceae. The record is from miRBase by way of RNAcentral.